This is a non-coding RNA of Rattus norvegicus (Norway rat), 371 nucleotides long. Lineage: Eukaryota; Metazoa; Chordata; Mammalia; Rodentia; Muridae. The record is from RefSeq and is a predicted model, not a curated record.
CGGCUGAGCUACAUCUCAAAGACGCUGUAGUGAAUGAGAAACAGGACCUCAAAUGUCACAUGCAGUAUGAUUCCAUUUGUGUAACCUUCUUGAGAUGACAAAAUUAUACAGACGGAACACAAAUUGGUGGUUGCUGCUGCAUUGUGGUAGUGGUUCCGCAAAUCCACACUUGUGACAAACUGACAUCAAACCCCACACAUGCUAUACAAUGCCGGUUUCCAUUUUGGAUGCUGGUCUGUAAUCAUUGGGAACUUUCCCAGGAAGACAGGCACUGGCUCGUAUGUUGGAAGGCCAGGUCACAGAAGAAGACCUGUGUCCAGCCAUGGUGUGGAGCCAGCCCACACAGCUCCUUUGAGAUCAUCUGAUGACAG